RNAcentral lists this ribosomal RNA (463 nucleotides) under uncultured bacterium. RNAcentral's name for it is "partial 16S ribosomal RNA". It matches the Rfam family "Bacterial small subunit ribosomal RNA", at positions 28 to 507 of the family's 1533-position model. The record is from RNAcentral.
GACGAACGCUGGCGGCGUGCUUAACACAUGCAAGUCGAACGGAAAGGCCUUUUCGGAGGUACUCGAGUGGCGAACGGGUGAGUAACACGUGGGUGAGCUUCCCUGCACUCUGGGAUAAGCCUGGGAAACUGGGUCUAAUACCGGAUAGGACCGCACUUUAGUGUGUGUGGGGGAAAGUUUUUUCGGUGUAGGAUGAGCCCGCGGCCUAUCAGCUUGUUGGGGGGGUAAUGGUUGACCAAGGCGGCGACGGGUAGCCGGACUGUGGGGUUGUGCGGCGACACUGGGACUGACGGGAGGCCCAGAUAGCUAAGGGAGGCAGACGGGGGGAAUCUUGACCAAGGGGCGCAAGCCGGAUGAAGCGACGCCGCGGGGGGGAGGACGGCCUUCGGGUUGUAAACUCAUUUCGCAAGGGACGAAGCGUUUUGUGACGGUACCUGGAGAAGAAGCCCCGGCUAACUACGUG